AGGGAUGUGGCUCAGUGGUAGAGCACUUGCCUAGCAUGUGUGAGGGCCUGGGUUCCAUCCCUAGCACCACCA
RNAcentral lists this transfer RNA (72 nucleotides) under Heterocephalus glaber (naked mole-rat). It matches the Rfam family "tRNA". From Rfam's summary of the family: Transfer RNA (tRNA) molecules are approximately 80 nucleotides in length. Their secondary structure includes four short double-helical elements and three loops (D, anti-codon, and T loops). The record is from Rfam by way of RNAcentral. Lineage: Eukaryota; Metazoa; Chordata; Mammalia; Rodentia; Bathyergidae.